UAUAUGGCUAAACUUGUGACGAAUAAAAGUUCUACACACAUUUUAUUAAGCGAUUCUUCAGAACUUUUAUUCAUAUGAAAGCCAAGGGAAACUGGGAAUUGGGGGAAGGGCUCUUUUUCGAGGAGAGACUAGCAGCGUGUCUUGGAUUUACACAGUGGAUUGCAUACAGAGGCAGCUAGAAGUCACGACAGAGUUAUGAGAUGGCAUGCAUCUUGUACCGGAGAUCCAAGGCAUACGGGAAAAGAAAUACCUUAAAGCAACCAACAAUAUAUUGUUUAA
Molecule: long non-coding RNA, 279 nt
Filed under: Medicago truncatula (barrel medic)
Lineage: Eukaryota; Viridiplantae; Streptophyta; Magnoliopsida; Fabales; Fabaceae
Description: lncRNA gene35609
Source: RNAcentral